Molecule: long non-coding RNA, 520 nt
Organism: Caretta caretta (loggerhead turtle)
Lineage: Eukaryota; Metazoa; Chordata; Testudines; Cheloniidae
Source: RefSeq, a predicted model, not a curated record
GGCUAUCAAGGUAGGACCUACUGAAAUGGACAUUCUCUGCAGGAUUAAUAAUACCGAGGACCUAAACCAGAGUCUUGUUUUAAACAAGUCCAACAGCUCCAGUGUUCAAAAUUUACCCAUGAAAUAAAAGCCCUGAAGACUAUAAAGUGAUGAGAAGCCUUCACAGCACUGGGGAAGGUCUGGGGAGAUUUCAGAAACAGAGGGCAUCUGGAAUGAAUUUGCUGCAGACUAAAUCAAAAGCUUCACCACUGUUUAACAUCAUCAUGGAGUAAAUCCCUCCCUGGUACAACUGCACUGAAGCCAUCAUGUACAAAUCUGGCCCCAUGAGUCUAAUUGAUUUAGGAAGUUGGUCUGCCUGGAGCUUUGGAGCCUGCAAAUGAUGCUGUGACAUGUUUAAUGUUGUUAUCAAUUGUCUUAUUACUUUAAUCAACAUCAUGGCAAUAUAGGGGAAUUCAAAUGAUCUUUGAUUCAUUGGGAGACAGACUAAACAGAAAAUAUUUGGACACCAUUAAGGUUAUUA